Molecule: transfer RNA, 72 nt
Filed under: Camelus bactrianus (Bactrian camel)
Lineage: Eukaryota; Metazoa; Chordata; Mammalia; Artiodactyla; Camelidae
Also listed under: 2 other names
Rfam family: tRNA
About the family: Transfer RNA (tRNA) molecules are approximately 80 nucleotides in length. Their secondary structure includes four short double-helical elements and three loops (D, anti-codon, and T loops).
Source: Rfam by way of RNAcentral
GAGGGUGUAGCUCAGGGGUAGAGUGUGUGCUUAGCAUGCACGAGGUCCUCGGUUCAAUCCCCAGCACCUCCA